AACGAACGCUGGCGGCAGGCCUAACACAUGCAAGUCGAGCGGACCUUUCGGGGUCAGCGGCGGACGGGUGAGUAACGCGUGGGAAUAUGCCCUUCUCUACGGAAUAGUCCUGGGAAACUGGGGUUAAUACCGUAUACGCCCUUUGGGGGAAAGAUUUAUCGGGGAAGGAUUAGCCCGAGUUGGAUUAGGUAGUUGGUGGGGUAAUGGCCUACCAAGCCGACGCUACAUAGCUGGUUUGAGAGGAUGAUCAGCCACACUGGGACUGAGACACGGCCCAGACUCCUACGGGAGGCAGCAGUGGGGAAUCUUAGAAAAGGGGGGCAACCCUGAGCAAGCCAUGCCGGGUGAGUGAUGAAGGCCUUAGGGUGGUAAAGCUCGUUCAGCGGGGAAGAUAAUGACGGUACCAGAAGAAGAAGCCCCGGCUAACUCCGUG
Molecule: ribosomal RNA, 433 nt
Filed under: uncultured bacterium
Lineage: Bacteria
Description: partial 16S ribosomal RNA
Rfam family: Bacterial small subunit ribosomal RNA
Source: RNAcentral